RNAcentral lists this ribosomal RNA (255 nucleotides) under uncultured bacterium. RNAcentral describes it as "partial 16S ribosomal RNA". It matches the Rfam family "Bacterial small subunit ribosomal RNA", at positions 524 to 776 of the family's 1533-position model. The record is from RNAcentral.
UACGUAGGGUCCGAGCGUUGUCCGGAAUUACUGGGCGUAAAGAGCUCGUAGGUGGUUUGUCGCGUUGUUCGUGAAAACUCACAGCUUAACUGUGGGCGUGCGGGCGAUACGGGCAGACUUGAGUACUGCAGGGGAGACUGGAAUUCCUGGUGUAGCGGUGGAAUGCGCAGAUAUCAGGAGGAACACCGGUGGCGAAGGCGGGUCUCUGGGCCGAGUAACUGACGCUGAGGAGCGAAAGCGUGGGGAGCGAACAGG